AGCCAGAGGUGAGGAAGUUGGCUGAGCCUGGGAAGGAGAAGCCUGAGGGCUACUCUGAAAAAGCCCAGAAGGGUGAUCUUGGGAAAGACAGUGAGGAGUCAGAGGAGGACGGAGAGGAAGAGGAGGAAUCCGAGGAGGAGGAAGAAACAUCAGAUUUAAGGAACAAAUGGCACCUGGUGAUUGACCGCCUCACUGUGCUCUUCUUAAAAUUCCUGGAGUAUUUUCACAAGCUGCAGGUGUUCAUGUGGUGGAUUUUGGAGUUGCACAUCAUCAAAAUCGUUUCCUCUUACAUUAUCUGGGUUUCCGUGAAAGAGGCAAGUGAACAUUUGUCCUAUCAUCAGGCUGAACAGAACCACAGUAGGUCAUCAUUUUCCUUUUCUAGCUGUCCAUGAUUUUUUUAAUGUAAUCCCCAUUACAUUGGAGUAUCAAGACUCCAAGACUAAGGACUUACACUUACAGAAAUCCGAGGGUCAGCAGCACUGAGAAAAAGGAAAGAGGCUCAUGGCUGAGUUUCUCAUUGGCUUGGUCAUAUUACAAAGGCUACUUAUUUUCAUCGAAUCCUCAGGGAAGAGUGUGAGAGCAGGCUGCCCUUCUGCCCCUGCCUAUGGGAAGCUAACUCCCUAAAUUCUCCAAGGAAAACAGUAGCAUUCCAGUUUACAUUACCAAGGAGAAAGCUCAGGUUCCAAAAUCUAAUAAAAUCUU
Molecule: small RNA, 702 nt
Filed under: Pongo abelii (Sumatran orangutan)
Lineage: Eukaryota; Metazoa; Chordata; Mammalia; Primates; Hominidae
Description: retained intron
Source: RNAcentral